UUCCUUGGGAUACAGACCCAGUAAUGGCACUGCUGGGUCAAAGGUAUGUGAGUUUUAGCCCUUUUGGUAUACUUCAAAUGGCUCUCUGAAUGGCUGAAUCGAAUUCUAAAAAAUAAGUGGAACAACAAAUCAGAAACAUUCCAUGAUUUCAUCCAAAAGAAUGACAGUAAUGAAACAAUAUACUAAAACCUAUGAAAUACAUAGCCAAAACAGUGAAUUCUUAGGUCAAAUUUUAUAUUUCUAAAUAGCUAUAUCAAUAAAAUAAAAAUUUGAGAUCAAUGACUUGGGUAUGCAACUAAACAAGCUAGGAAAAGAACAAAAACACAACAAAUUAAAACUCCCGAUUGAAUAUUGGCUUAGAAAUUCUGAAAUUCCAAGGCAAGAUUAAUAAAAUGGAAACUUAGGAAAUUAUUGAAUUAAUAAAACUUAAGAGAUAAUUUUAUGAAUAAAACCAAAAAAAAUAUAGCUUCUGUUAAUUUGAUCAGAAAAAGUAAAGCAAAAACCCAAAUUACCAGCAUCACAAAUCAAAGGGGGGAACAUACCACUAUGAUAAAGUAAAGCAAUAAUAAUGAACUAUUUUGCCUAUCCAAAGGGAGCACAUCUGAAGAUCUGUCCCAAAUGGAUCAAUACUGAGAAAAAUACAAAUUGCUAACAUUAACAGAAGGUGAAGUAAAUUACUUAACCAGUCUCAUUUUAGAAAAAGAAAUUCAACAAACUGUUUAUUAAGAAAAAAUCUUCAGGGCCACAUGGAUUCAUAAGUGAAUUCUACUAAACAUUUAAAGAACAAUAAAUUCCAAUAUUGUGCAAAUUAUUUGGAAAAGGGGGUCAAGAAGGAAUACUGUCUAAUUCCUUCUAUGAUACUAAUUACCUAUAAAGCAGGAGGAACCACAAGAGAGACUAAAGUACAGACCAAUCUCCCUAAUGUAUAUUGAUGCAAAAAUCUUACAUAAAAUAUUAGCCAAGAGAUUACAUCAAAUUUUUCCCAGGAUAAUGCACCAUGAGCAAGUGGGAUUUACACCAGGAAUACAUGGCUGGUUCAAUAUUAAAAAAAACUAUUGGUAUAAUUGACUCUAUCAAUAAUGAAGCCAAUAGAAAUCAUGACAGUCACACAGUUGCAGAAAAAACUUUUGACAAAAUUCAGCAGCCAUUUCUCUGAAAAACGCCGGCCAGCAUAGGCUUCAAGGGAGCUUUCCUUCAAAUAAUAAGCCAUAUCUGUCCAAAACGGCAAACAUUAUUUUGUAAUGGAGAGAAUCGUCUGGGUCAUUCCUAGUAAGAUCAGAGGUGAAACAAGGAUGCCCAUUACUGUUGAGGUCAGGAACCGAAUGUUGAGGUGUAGACCACAUGUUGAGGUCUACAUUUGGGGUACCUAAAUGAAAUUAGAGUUUAGUUAAAGGUCUAGUGGCAGGUUUGGGGUACAGGGAGUCAAACAGAGUUCCCCUGCAACCCCCUUAGAUUCGGCGCAAGGAUACGGCGGUAUAUGAGGUCUAGAAGCGGCGUGGAUUCCCAAUAAAAGCAUUUAUUAGCCCAGAGAGCUAGAUUAAUAAAAGAGGUUUAUUAUUGAGUCUAGAAGUAGGAGAUAGGUGAAGGUAGAGAUAAAGAGGGCACUGGGGACAGAGGGUCCAGUGGACAGAGGGUCCUCACAUGGCGACCAUGUUUGGAAUCUCUGCAAAGAGGGGUUCCCAGUGUGGUCCUUUUAAGUCGGAGACUUAGCUCGAGGGGCUUUGGGGUGUAGCCCCAAAGUUGGCUCAGAUCCGGGUGGAGCUGGGACCCCGGUCCGGACCUUCUAUUGGAAUUCAAAGGGACCAGGAUUUGUGAGUCAAAGGGUAAUUUACAUUAGCUAGGGGGGUUGGGAAUCAAAGAUUGGAAUCUUUCCCGCAUCAUUACCACAGCAAUUAUUCAAGAAGGUACAAGAAAUGUUGGCUUGAGCAAGAAGAAAAGAAAAAGAAAUGAAAGGAAUUACUAUAGGCAAUGAGGAAAUCAAACUAUCUUUCUUUGCAGAUGAGAUGAUGAUAUACUUAGAGAAUUCUAGAAAGCCAUCCAAAAAACUACUGGAAUCAACAGGUUGAACAAACUUGUAGGAUAUAAAAUAAACCCACACAAAUCAUCAGCAUUUCUCUAUGUUACUGACAAAACCCAUCAGCAAGUGAUAGAAAGAGAAAUUGCUUGUAAAAUAAUGUAGACCAAAUAAAAUAGUCGGGGGUUUAACUACCAAGACAAGCCCAAGAGCUAUGAGAACACAAUUACAAAAACCUUCUCACAGGGAUAAAAUUAGAUCUAAGCAAUGGGGAAAAUAUCGAUUGCACAUGGGUAGGCUGAGUUAGUUAAGAUUAGAAAACGCCAAUUCUGCCUCACUCAUUCAAUGACUUCAGUGCCAUAAAAAUGAAUCGGGAAAAAUGUAUUUUAUAGAAGUACAAAAAAUAACAAAACUCACAUGGAAGAACAAAAGGCCAAGAUAUCAAGGGAAUUAAUAAGAAAAAAAUAUAAAGGAUAGUGGCUUACAUUCUUCAAUUGAUAAAUGGUCAAAGGAUAUGAACAGACAAUUUUCAGAUGAAGAAAUGGAAACAAUUUCUACUCAUAUGAAAAGGUGCUAUAAAUGACUAGUACUACACACCCCUCAGAUUAGCUAAGAUAACAAGAAAAGAUAAUGAUGAAUGUUGGAGGGAAUGUGAGAAAACUGGGAAACUAAUACAUUGCUAGUGGAAUUUUGAACUGAUCCAACCAUUCUGGAGAGCAAUUUGGAAGUAUAGGCAAAAAGUUAUCAAACUGUGCAUAUCCUUUGACCUAGAAGUGUUACUACUGGGCCUGUAUCCCAAAGAGAUAUUAAAGGAGGGAAAGGGACCUGUAUGUGCAAAAAUGUUUGUGGCAACCCUCUUUGUAGUGGCCAGAAACUGGAAACUGAGUGAAUGUCCAUCAGUUGGAGAAUGGCUGAAUAAGUUAUGGUAUAUGAAUGUUAUGAAACAUUAUUAUUCUAUAAGAAAUGAUCAGUACAAUGAUUUCAGGAAGGCCUGGAGAGACUUACAUGAACUGAUGAUGAAAUGAGCAGAACCAGGAGAUCAUUGUACACGGCAACAGCAAGAUUAUACAAUGAUCAAUUCUGAUGGUCCUGGCUCUUUCCAAGAAUGAGAUGAUUCAGGACAGUUCCUAUGAUCCUGUGAUAAAGAGAGCCUUCUAUACCCAGAGAGAGAGCACUGGGAACUGAGAGUAUAUCACAACAUAGCAUUUUCACUCCUUUUGUUGUUUGUUUGCAUUUUGUUUUCUUUCUUAUUUUUUUCCUUUUGGAUCUGAUUUUUCAUAUGCAGCAUAACUGUAUAAAUAUGUAUACAUACACUGAAUUUAACAUAUUUUAGCAUGAUUAACAUACAUUGGAUUACUUGCCAUCUAGGGGUGGGAGUGGGGGCAAUGGAAGCAAAAUCUGGAACACAACGUUUUGUAAAGGUUAAUGUUUAAAAAUUAUCUAUUUCUAUGUUUUGAAAAUAAAAAGCUUAAGUAAAAAAGAAGGAAAAUAAAAAAGGAUGGGGGCUUAGCAUUCCCAAACCUAAAAGUAUAAUAUAAGCAGCAGUUCUCAAAACCAUUUGCUCUUAGCUAACAGAGUGGUGGAUCAGAGGAAUAGAUUCCAGUGAUCAAGGCCUAUAGUUAUGUAGUAUUUGACAAAGCCCCAAACUCCAGCUUCUGGUAUAAAAACUCGCUAUUUGAUAAUAAAUCUCAGGGAAAAGUGGAAAAUCACUCAGAAACUCGGCUUCGACCCAUGGGGUGUGCAUCUCACACCCCAUGCCAAAAUCUGGUCACAAUGGAAAAGAUCUCCACUGAAACCAGAAGUGGUUUGAGAGCCCUGCCCUGGGGCCUCUGAGAAAAGUCUCGGGGGAGGGGUGGUCCUCAGCACCAUCAGGCUUUCCUUGGGUACAUAUAUUGUCCAGGCUGACAAACCGGCCUAAGGAUUGCUGCCAGCUUGUGUCCAGGGAGGACGCAGGUUGGACACAGGGAGUGGAGGCUGUUCUUUCCCGAGGGAGCAGCUUGUUGCACGUCAAAGAGAACUGGAUGCUGGCUUGCCUGUGGGAGUGGAACUUGGCCAGAGGGAGUUGAAAGCCCCCAGAGGGGGGAAAGAUGAUGUGCCCUCUCCUCAUUUAGCAUGGGGCUGUCCCUGGGAACUCUGAAAAGGUGUCUAAGAGUCAGGGAGCUUGGAGAGCAGGGCUGUCAUGCCUAAGGCUUUCCCCACAGCUGGGUCUGGGGAAAUUGUGGUCCUAUGGCUACUUUGUGCACCUUCUUCAAAAUGUCUGGAGCAGCUGAAUAAUCACACACAUGUUGAGGACAGGAAUCCUAUCAAGAAAAGGGGGGUUCAGGAAAUCUGCAGCUCAAUGGGGAGAAGAAAUAGAAUACUUCCCAACGGGAAGAAGAUGGACAUUCAGUGAAAGAGGCGAAUUCCAUUUAUUACUAAUGAAAAGACCAGAGCUAAACAAAAAAUUUGACCUCCAAAUACAGAACUCAAGAGAAGCAUAAAAAGACUAGACCCGCUGCUUGGCAGAAGGCUCUGCCAACAGGCCCUGGGGGACCUCAGCCCGAGUCGACUUCACCACAUGGCGCCCUGGUGUGGAAAAGAAAACUAAACUCAAGUACCUGACUAAAUAUCUAUCCUCCACAGAAUUGGCCCCACUACAAGCAGAAGCUUCCACCAAUGGGCCAAGGUGCUCCUCUUCCUCAUUCGACCUCAUUUCUUUAUCAUAUAUUGGGUGAAAAAAAAAAAAAAGAAAGAAAACCAAACACACUGACUCACCUCAACCCCCCCAGGAUGAAUGUGUGCCCUUCAGAGACUUGGCCCCAACACUUGGCAGAAACCCUUGCCAACAGGCCAAAAGGUCCUCUUCCCCAAUAGAACAGAAGGCAUUGUGCCAUCUGGAAAAAAGAUCCCCCCCAAGCACACUAACUCCCCUCAACAUCCAGGCUAAAUGUGGGUCCUCCAUAGACAGGACUUCUGCAGGGCUCCUGCCUGGCAGAAAGCUCCACCAAGGGGCCAGGGCUCUCCUUCCCCAGUCGAUCUCAGCACAUUUUCCCUGAAAACUUGGGAGAACGGAUGCCUCCCAUAAACCUCCAGCAUUCACCAUGGUGCCAGCAGCUGGGCCAGACUGGGUAGUCCCAACCCCUGGAAGAGGCCGGUCUCUGGGCUGACCAAUGACCUCCCCUGCCUGCCAUGAGAGGUCAAACAGGAAGCCACCCCACUCCUGUCAGCUCCCUCUUCCCUCAGGCUGUAGCACUUGCCUGCCCCAGGCUUUAGGGACUCCCGCCAAAGGCCCCAGGAAGAAGAGGCUCAGCCACCCUUACAAAGGAAAAUUGCAAACACCAGUCCAUCUUGUUCACCAGAUAGAUGAUGUGGAAAUUGAGAAUCAAGAAUUGCCAAUUGAACAUGAAGUUUCAGCCAACAUUGUUCCCCAGGUCUCUGGGUCACUGGAUGCCCAGUGUUUGCUCAGUAUCUUAAACAUUUAAAAAUUGAAUAAAAUUUAAUUUUUUUAAUGUUUAGUAAA
Molecule: long non-coding RNA, 5513 nt
Filed under: Sarcophilus harrisii (Tasmanian devil)
Lineage: Eukaryota; Metazoa; Chordata; Mammalia; Dasyuromorphia; Dasyuridae
Description: lncRNA (ENSSHAG00000025158.1)
Source: RNAcentral